GGGGGCGUAGCUCAAUUGGUUAGAGUCCCAGACUGUCGAUCUGGUUGUUGCGGGUUCGAGUCCCGUCGCUCCCGCCA
This 77-nucleotide transfer RNA is filed under the name Kiritimatiella glycovorans. RNAcentral describes it as "tRNA-Asp". It matches the Rfam family "tRNA". From Rfam's summary of the family: Transfer RNA (tRNA) molecules are approximately 80 nucleotides in length. The record is from RNAcentral. RNAcentral also lists the same sequence under 9 other names. Lineage: Bacteria; Pseudomonadati; Kiritimatiellota; Kiritimatiellia; Kiritimatiellales; Kiritimatiellaceae.